Molecule: ribosomal RNA, 429 nt
Filed under: uncultured archaeon
Lineage: Archaea
Description: bacterial SSU rRNA
Rfam family: Archaeal small subunit ribosomal RNA
Source: RNAcentral
UACCAGCUCUCCGAGUUGUAGGGAUGAUUAUUGGGCUUAAAGCGUCCGUAGCUGGCUUAGCAAGUCUCCUGUUAAAUUCAGCGACCUAAUCGUUGAGCCGCGGGAGAUACUACUAGGCUAGGAGGCGGGAUAGGUCGACGGUACUUUCGGGGUAGGGGUGAAAUCCUAUAAUCCCGGGAGGACCACCAGUGGCGAAGGCUGUCGACUAGAACGCGCUCGACGGUGAGGGAUGAAAGCUGGGGGAGCGAACCGGAUUAGAUACCCGGGUAGUCCCAGCUGUAAACGAUGCAGGCUAGGUGUUUGGGCGGCCACGUGCCGCUCUAGUGCCGCAGGGAAGUCGUUAAGCCUGCCGCCUGGGGAGUACGGCCGCAAGGCUGAAACUUAAGGAAUUGGCGGGGGAGCACCACGAAGGGGUGAAGCUUGCGGUUU